UAGCUCAGUUGGUAGAGCAUGGUGCUCGUAACACCAUGGUAGUGGGUUUGAUUCCCGG
This 58-nucleotide transfer RNA is filed under the name Salmo salar (Atlantic salmon). It matches the Rfam family "tRNA", at positions 8 to 63 of the family's 71-position model. Rfam says of the family: Transfer RNA (tRNA) molecules are approximately 80 nucleotides in length. Their secondary structure includes four short double-helical elements and three loops (D, anti-codon, and T loops). The record is from Rfam by way of RNAcentral. RNAcentral also lists the same sequence under 1 other name. Lineage: Eukaryota; Metazoa; Chordata; Actinopteri; Salmoniformes; Salmonidae.